Molecule: ribosomal RNA, 200 nt
Filed under: uncultured bacterium
Lineage: Bacteria
Description: partial 16S ribosomal RNA
Rfam family: Bacterial small subunit ribosomal RNA
Source: RNAcentral
AGCGAACGCUGGCGGCAGGCCUAACACAUGCAAGUCGAACGAACUCUUCGGAGUUAGUGGCGGACGGGUGAGUAACACGUGGGAACGUGCCUUUAGGUUCGGAAUAACUCAGGGAAACUUGUGCUAAUACCGAAUGUGCCCUUCGGGGGAAAGAUUUAUCGCCUUUAGAGCGGCCCGCGUCUGAUUAGCUAGUUGGUAGU